CACCCUGGGCGCCGCCGCCGCCUUCUUCACUGGCCCGCCUCGCCGCCUCACAGCACCCACGAACCGCUGUGUCCUCCCCUCUCGCACUCUCGCUCCCAGGGCGGCGCCGCCACUCUCUCCGAGCCGCCGCCACCCCCUCCCCACCUCCCAACCUCAUCCCCCGUGUCUCCUCGAGUUCUCGAUGAAACUGACCUGCCUGGACACCGGAGUCGAUGGAGGCUACUACACGCCGGCGAGUCAUCUCCUGGAGGUGGAGGGGCUCCGUAUUCUCCUUGACUGCCCCAUCGACCUCUCCGCUCUCACGGCGUUCUCCGCGGUGCCCCUCGGCGCAUCGUCCUCCUCCGGUGAUGCGGAGGACCUAAUCCGCGGUGUGCCCUACUACCGGUCGCCUACCGCGGUUGCGGCCGCCAAAGCAGGCCACAUAGACGCCGUGCUUGUGUCAUCCGCUACGGGGCUGCUUGGCCUCCCGUUCCUCACGCGAUUCCCCGGAUUUGCGAACACCAAGGUCUAUGUGACAGAGGUAGCUGCUAGGAUGGGAAGUCUAAUGAUGAGAGAGUUGGUAGAGAUGCACCGUGAGUUUGUAAGGUGUUAUGGACCAGAUAGGGAUCAGUCACCAGUGUGGAUGGAAGGGGAGAAGCUCAAGAAACUCAUGUCAGUGUUGCAGAAGAUCACGACUGAAGACGAGGAAAAUAAUAAUUUAGCUGCUUUGGUGUCACUUUACAGGUCCACUAAAGAGUUUAUAUUAGAAGAUAGUGCUUAAUUUCACCUAGCUUAUAUUGGCUAUUGGUCCAGAACGUUGAACUUACAUUCUUACUAGAGACAAACUUAAAAACUUUUAUGAAUAUUUAAUACACAAAAAAAAUGUACUUGAAUAAUUGAAUUUUGUCAAGAUUUGACUUUCAAAUGCUAAUAAGAAUCUGAUAAGAUAAUUACUGUUUACACCCUAGUUAGUUUCAGUAUCAGUCCAGUGCGUUAUAUCAAUGAUGGUUUUAUUACUUGAGCAAAGAAAGAUUCAGAUACUGCCACAUGUCUGCGGCCUAUCAUCUUAUUGUGUUACUUGUGUAACUGGUUAAGAGUUAUUUGCUUCCUGCAAACAAAUUUCUGCACUUGGGACAUAUGGUGGUCAUUAAAUUUUAUGACUGGAAGAUUUGUAAGCAGUUCAUGGAAGUGAGUUACCAUUUUUUUUCUCAACUAAUGGGAUUUAUAUCUAUCUGGUGCAGUCUGGAUAAUAUAGAAGAAUGCAUGCAAAAAACCCAGUAUGUAAAAUAUGGAGAGGAGGUUUGCUUCAAUGGCAUGUUGAUGCUGAAAGCCUCUAGUUCUGGUCUCGAACUUGGCAAUUGUGUUUGGACAAUAAAAGGUCCAAGAGCAAGUAUGACCUACUUGCCGAGCUCCAUAUUUGUGUCAGCUCAUGCAUUAGACUUUGAUUAUAGCUCUCUGAAGGGAAAUGAUGUGAUAUUGUUUUCGGAUUUUUCUUCCUUAAAUGGCAUGUAUGAUGAUAACAAGAAGAUGGGUGAGCAUAUAGUGGAUGAAACUGACAUUCUCCUUGCUAGUAAUUCAGUGUUCAGGGAUGAUGGCAUGGAUGAAGAUGAAACCAUCAAAUUCCUGUGCAGCAAUGAUGAUAUUGCAGAGGAGAUAGAGAGAAUCAGCUUCAUAUGCUCAUGCAUCAUUGAUGCAAUAAAUUCUGGUGGUUCUGUAUUAAUACCAAUAGGACGAAUUGGUAUUAUUCUUUUGCUUUUGGAACAUAUGUCAGAAACACUACAUUCUUCCAACAUGAAGGAUAUGCCAUUUGGAUUUGCUUAUGUGGAUGUGUCAAGUUGAGAGUGCCUGAUUUACUGCUAACUACGUGUAAGAUGGUUAGCUUCUAGGAGGGUUUAAAUAUGCAUGUGAUACGAAGUGUCCUAUACCUGUAGUAACAAGUUAUUUUUCAUAUCGGUAGUUCUAUGCCCCUUCUUUUAAUUCUACUAUGAAAUUUGAAGUUUAUGCCACAUCGCUAUUCACAUCUGUUUUUGGAUGACAAUUUUUUUCAGAGUCAGGUUCCCAUAUUUAUGAUUUCUGAGACAGCAGAAGAAAUAAUUACUUUUACCAAUGCCUUGCCUGAAUGGCUAUGCAAGUCACGCCAAGAGAAGCUUUUCUCUUGUGAGCCGUUAUUCGGCCAUGUAGAGCUUUUGAAGGAAGGCAAACUAUCACUGUUCUCUCAUUUAUACUCAAAGGGCCUGCUCUUGGAAGGAACCUUGCAUUGUAUUUUGUCCACAUUGGAGUCUUAGGCAUGGCCCAGCUGUCCAUUUGCUUCAUCGAUGGCGUGCAGACAAACGAUGUCUUCUUGUUUUGGAGCAAGGAGUUGAUGCUGAGUUGACUCUAAAACCUUUCAUGCCUCUGGCGAUCCAGGUCCUUGGGUGUUCUUUCCUUUCUGGAAUAAAGGUGGGGAAAAUUGAUCCAUUACUGGGAUUGCUGAAACCAAAGCUCAUACUGUUUCCUGAAGGUCAGAAGUCGUUGUGUCCAGCCACAGAUAAGCAACCAUGGUCAUUCCUGUAUUACUCAAAGGGGAAAACAAUCGAGGUCCCAAAUAUGCGGGAAGAAUUCGAGGUGCGCAUGACAACUGAGGUUGCCUUUGGGUUGCAACCUAGGCAGCUGGACAAGACCACAGCUGUUGCGAGGUUGAAAGCAAAGCUCCUUCUAAGCAAUGGACAAUAUGUGCUAGCUGCUGCAAAGAGUGAAUUAGAUCGAUCAGAGCGGCACUUGCUACACUGGGGAACUGUGGACGCGAGCUGUAUACCGUCAGCCUUGCAGGAAAAGGGAAUUGUAUGCUCGUUUUCUGCAGACGCUGAUUACUCUGCACCUUCAGAUCGUGAACGUGUAAUUUCGAUCACUAGUCCAGGAGAAGCCCUGGUGAAGGUGACAUCUGAAAGGACUACUAUUUACUGUGAUGAUGAAGAAACAGCAGAGCGUGUUUAUGAUGCUCUUCGUAGUAUUUGUAAUGGGAUAUGAUGUAUAUAUACGAUUUCACUCAAGAAAAUGACGUGCCUUCGUUUUUGCUGUCGAAGGUUUGAAACCA
Non-coding RNA from Oryza sativa Japonica Group (Japanese rice), 3052 nucleotides. The record is from RefSeq and is a predicted model, not a curated record. Lineage: Eukaryota; Viridiplantae; Streptophyta; Magnoliopsida; Poales; Poaceae.